RNAcentral lists this ribosomal RNA (464 nucleotides) under uncultured bacterium. RNAcentral's name for it is "partial 16S ribosomal RNA". It matches the Rfam family "Bacterial small subunit ribosomal RNA", at positions 338 to 795 of the family's 1533-position model. The record is from RNAcentral.
CCUACGGGUGGCAGCAGUAGGGAAUUUUCGGCAAUGGGGGGAACUCUGACCGAGCAACGUCGCGUGAAGGAAGAAGGACUUCGUGCUGUAAACCUCUGUUAUAAAGGAAGAAAGACGGAUGGAGGAAAUGACAUCCGAGUGACGGUACUUUAUGAGAAAGCCACGGCAAACUACGUGCCAGCAGCCGCGGUAAUACGUAGGUGGCAAGCGUUAUCCGGAUUUAUUGGGCGUAAAGAGGGGGCAGGCGUCAGCAAAGGUCUGUGGUGAAUGACUGAAGCUUAACUUCAGUAAGCCAUAGAAACCGGACAGCUAGAGUGCAGGAGAGGAUGGUGGAAUUCGAUGUGUAGCGGUGAAAUGCGUAGAUAUAUGGAGGAACACCAGUGGCGAAGGCGACGAUCUGGCCUGCAACUGACGCUGAGGCCCGAAAGCGUGGGGAGCAAAUAGGAUUAGAUACCCUUGUAGUC